AGAGUUUGAUCAUGGCUCAGAACGAACGCUGGCGGCAGGCCUCAAACAUGCAAGUCUAGGGGGUAGCAAUACCACUGGCGGACGGGUGCGUAACACGUGGGAAUAUACCUUUUGGUUCGGAACAACGCAGGGAAACUUGCGCUAAUACCGAAUGUGCCCUUACGGGGAAAGAUUUAUCGCCAAAGGAUUAGCCCGCGUCCGAUUAGCUAGUUGGUGAGGUAAUGGCUCACCAAGGCUCCGAUCGGUAGCUGUUCUGAGAGGAAGAUCAGCCACACUGGGACUGAGACACGGCCCAGACUCCUACGGGAGGCAGCAGUUGGGAAUCUUGGACAAUGGGGGAAACCCUGAUCCAGCCAUGCCGCGUGAGUGAUGAAGGCCUUCGGGUUGUAAAACUCUUUCGACGGGGACGAUAAUGACGGUACCCGUAGAAGAAGCUCCGGCUAACUUCGUGCCAGCAGCCGCGGUAAUACGAAGGGGGCUAGCGUUGUUCGGAAUUACUGGGCGUAAAGCGCGCGCAGGCGGUCUUCCAAGUCAGUGGUGAAAGCCCGGAGCUCAACUCCGGAACUGCCAUUGAAACUGUAAGACUUGAGGAUGAGAGAGGUGAGUGGAAUUCCCAGUGUAGAGGUGAAAUUCGUAGAUAUUGGGAAGAACACCGGUGGCGAAGGCGGCUCACUGGCUCAUAUCUGACGCUCAGGCGCGACAGCGUGGGGAUCAAACAGGAUUAGAUACCCUAGUAGUCC
Molecule: ribosomal RNA, 740 nt
Filed under: uncultured bacterium
Lineage: Bacteria
Description: bacterial SSU rRNA
Rfam family: Bacterial small subunit ribosomal RNA
Source: RNAcentral